This 417-nucleotide ribosomal RNA is filed under the name uncultured bacterium. RNAcentral's name for it is "bacterial SSU rRNA". It matches the Rfam family "Bacterial small subunit ribosomal RNA", at positions 355 to 786 of the family's 1533-position model. The record is from RNAcentral.
UGGGGAAUAUUGGGCAAUGGGCGAAAGCCUUACCCAGCAACGCCGCGUGAGGGAAGAAGGUUUUCGGAUUGUAAACCUCUGUCCUGGGGGACGAAGGAAGUGACGGUACCCCGGGAGGAAGCCCCGGCUAACUACGUGCCAGCAGCCGCGGUAAUACGUAGGGGGCGAGCGUUGUCCGGAAUUAUUGGGCGUAAAGGGCGCGUAGACGGCCGAGUAAGUUAUAGGUGAAAGCCCAUCUUUCAAGGAUGGAAUUGCCUGUAAUACUGCCUGGCUUGAGUGCAGGAGAGGGAAGCGGAAUUCCUAGUGUAGCGGUGAAAUGCGUAGAUAUUAGGAGGAACACCAGUGGCGAAGGCGGCUUUCUGGACUGUAACUGACGCUGAGGCGCGAAAGCGUGGGGAGCGAACAGGAUUAGAUACC